RNAcentral lists this ribosomal RNA (384 nucleotides) under Triticum aestivum (bread wheat). RNAcentral describes it as "partial small subunit ribosomal RNA". Lineage: Eukaryota; Viridiplantae; Streptophyta; Magnoliopsida; Poales; Poaceae. The record is from RNAcentral.
AUGGACUCCCCGCAGAAAGAGGCUGGAUCCACCAUGGACGGCGAGACGCGUCAUCUGCUGCUGCCUUGCCGCCGGCUGACGGACGCGGAGGAAGCCUUGGACAGCACCCUAAAGAUGGGGAUGCUGUUCUGCGGCGUGGUCCAGGCGGCCUCGGCGCUGCUGAUCCCGCGCCACCGCCGCUGGGUCCGCCGCGCCCUCGACUACCUCGCGCUCGCGCUCACCAUUGGCGGCCACUGCAUCUACGCCGCCGCAGCCCUCCUCGUGCCCGUCGCCGACCCAGGAGACGUCUACCUCAGGAUCGCCUUCGCAGUCGUCAUCGUCAUCUUCGCCGCCGGGGACAUCAUCGGCUUCCUGGCCCUCCUCCUGCUGGGAGGCGAGGCGUAG